Molecule: ribosomal RNA, 828 nt
Filed under: Mermithidae sp. L-6277A
Lineage: Eukaryota; Metazoa; Nematoda; Enoplea; Mermithida; Mermithidae
Description: SSU rRNA
Rfam family: Eukaryotic small subunit ribosomal RNA
Source: RNAcentral
GCUAAUACAUGCACGAAAGCUCGGACCUCACGGAAAGAGCGCAUUUAUUAGAACAAAACCAAUCGAAUCCUCGUGGUUCGUCUAUUGGUGACUCUGAAUAACUAAGUUGAUCGCACAGUCAUAGAACUGGCGACGUAUCUUUCAAAUAUCUGCCUUAUCAACUUUCGAUGGUAGGUUAUAUGCCUACCAUGGUUAUAACGGGUAACGGAGAAUAAGGGUUCGACUCCGGAGAGGGAGCCUGAGAAAUGGCUACCACAUCCAAGGAAGGCAGCAGGCGCGCAAAUUACCCAAUCCCAGUACGGGGAGGUAGUGACGAAAAAUAACGAGAUACUCCACUAUGUGGCCUGUCAUCGGAAUGGGUACAAUUUAAAUCUUUUAACGAGGAUCUAUUAGAGGGCAAGUCUGGUGCCAGCAGCCGCGGUAAUUCCAGCUCUAAUAGCGUAUAUUAAAGUUGUUGUGGUUAAAACGCCCGUAGUUGAUUUUUCGACUUUGGAGCACGGUAUCUCGAAAGAGUUUUCACUGUGUCUUCAAGUCUCAUCUUCUUGUUUUCUUUGGCUGCUCUUUUCUGGGUGUCCUUAGUGACUUGAACGUUUACUUUGAAAAAAUUAGAGUGCUUAAAGCAAGCUUAACGCUUGAAUAAAGUGCAUGGGAUAAUGGAAUGGGACCUUAGUCUUAUUUUGUUGGUUUUCGAGAUUAAAGUAAUGAUUAAGAGGAAUAGACGGGGGCAUUCGUAUUGUUGCGUUAGAGGUGAAAUUCUUGGAUCGCAGCAAGACGAACAACUGCGAAAGCAUUUGCCAAGAAUGUUUUCAUUAAUCAAGGACGAAGUUA